GUUCAUACUUUGGUAAUUGGAAUGAGAACAAUUUAAACCCCUUAACGAGUAACCAUCAGAGGGCAAGUCUGGUGCCAGCAGCCGCGGUAAUUCCAGCUCUGAUAGCGUAUAUUAAAGUUGUUGCAGUUAAAAAGCUCGUAGUUGGAUUUUAGAGUGUAUUGAUACGGUCUCUUGUGAUAAACUUGUUGUACUGUAUUAAUUACUCUUUCCUACUGGUUACUCGACUCUGUUCUUUAUUGCAUGGAGUAGUGUCGCAAGGCAUCGCUUAGUAUUUUUAUUGCUUUUAGAUGUAGUAAUUGGGUAAAACUGGUUGCGAAACCUAAGGGAUCACAGUAAAGUAUUAAGUGGGGUUCCAGUUCAUUUACUUUGAGUAAAUUAGAGUGUUCAAAGCAGCCUGUAUGGGCAUUGAAUAGAUUAGCAUGGGAUAAUAGAAUAGGAUUCUUGUCUAUUUAUUGGUUUAUUAGGUUAGUAAUAAUG
RNAcentral lists this ribosomal RNA (477 nucleotides) under uncultured eukaryote. RNAcentral's name for it is "bacterial SSU rRNA". It matches the Rfam family "Eukaryotic small subunit ribosomal RNA", at positions 493 to 867 of the family's 1831-position model. The record is from RNAcentral.